This is a long non-coding RNA of Ictalurus punctatus (channel catfish), 502 nucleotides long. The record is from Ensembl. NCBI's taxonomy places the organism in Eukaryota, Metazoa, Chordata, Actinopteri, Siluriformes, Ictaluridae.
UUAUUUUUGAUUGCCUUAAAUUCAUCAAUAGAUAUAAGAGUAUUCAGAUUUGAAUAUUUUUGCAAUUUCUUCCAUGUCCAAGGUGCAUAAUAGGAAAAAAGGAGUUUUCCCCAGAUCUGUCAGAACCCGGGGUACAUUAAAAAGCAACAUCUGGAGGAGUGCAAGUGAUAACUACCCGAACUAAGGAAAAGAAGGUUAAAAAGCAAGGAAACACUGUGGCAAGAACCUCCUGGAAGACUCCUUACAAAUCCUGGAGGAACUCCUCAAGAGAGCCACAUCAAAGCACAUCAAUGAAUAGUUUUUGGGGAGCCCCAAUUAAAGACAUCAAGGACUUACAGAUGUUGAUCUUAACCUGUCAGCCUGCACAGACAUCUAUUCCAGUCCUACCUACAUCACACCAGACCUCACUCUGUCUUGUCUAGAUGGCUGACUAACACCAAGUUCUCCUCAGGAUUAGAUGUAUGGAAACAUAAAAAAUGGACAUAACACAACUGAAUAUUGC